CCGGUGUGGGGGUUCGUUCCCGCCUGACCGCCUGGGAGUCCAGUCAGGUCCAGUCAGGUCCAGUCAGGUUCGCGGCCCGCGGCCCACAGAGCAGCGCCCGUCCAGCCCGCGCUCGCCAGCAUGUCGUUCGUCCCGGUGGCCGAGGACUCUGACUUCCCGGUCCACAACCUGCCCUACGGCGUGUUUUCCACCACAGACAAUCCAAGACCAAGGAUCGGCGUGGCCAUUGGGGACCAGAUCCUGGACCUCAGUGUCGUUAAGCACCUCUUCACCGGGCCAGUCCUCUCCAAACACCAGGAUGUCUUCGAUCAGCCAACGCUCAACAGCUUCAUGGGCCUGGGUCAGGCUGCCUGGAAGGAGGCGAGAGCUUUCUUGCAGAAUUUACUGUCUGCCAGCCAGGCCAGGCUCAGAGAUGACAGGGAGCUUCAGAAGCGCGCAUUCGUCUCCCAGGUUUCAGCCACAAUGCACCUUCCAGCCACCAUAGGUGACUACACGGACUUCUAUUCCUCCCGGCACCAUGCUACAAACGUCGGGGUCAUGUUCAGGAGCAAGGAGAAUGCGCUGGCGCCCAAUUGGCUGCACUUACCAGUGGGCUAUCACGGUCGUGCCUCUUCUGUCGUGGUGUCCGGCACCCCCAUCCGGAGGCCCAUGGGACAGAUGAGACCCGAUGACUCUAAGCCUCCUGUGUAUGGUGCCUGCAAACUCUUGGACAUAGAGUUGGAAAUGGCUUGCUUCGUAGGCCCCGGGAACAGAUUUGGAGAGCCGAUCCCCAUCUCCAGGGCCCACGAGCACAUUUUUGGAAUGGUCCUCAUGAACGACUGGAGUGCUCGAGACAUUCAGAAGUGGGAAUAUGUCCCUCUCGGGCCGUUCCUCGGGAAGAGUUUUGGGACCACCAUCUCUCCGUGGGUGGUGCCCAUGGACGCCCUCAUGCCCUUUGUGGUGCCCAACCCGGAGCAGGACCCCCAGCCCCUACCGUACCUCCGCCACGACCAGCCCUACACGUUCGACAUCCACCUCUCUGUCGCCCUGAAAGGGGAAGGAAUGAGCCAGGCAGUUACCAUAUGCAAGUCCAAUUUUAAGCACAUGUACUGGACGAUGCUGCAGCAGCUGACGCACCACUCUGUCAAUGGCUGCAACCUGCGGCCGGGGGACCUCCUGGGUUCCGGAACCAUCAGCGGGCCGGAGCCAGAAAGCUUUGGGUCUCUGUUAGAGCUGUCGUGGAGAGGGACAAAGGCCAUCGAGCUGGGGAAUGGACAGACUAGGAAGUUCCUGCUGGACGGCGACGAAGUCGUCAUAACAGCUACGAUUUCCACAACAACCCCACAAAGAAGGCCACAAACAGUUCCCGACGUUUGCAAACGGGAAACCCGGGUCUCCGAAGGAGGUAGGGGCUCCCAUGCAGUGAUUGAUUGCAGCAGAGACCGGAUCCACGACGUCACCCCCCAGCGCCACACGUGAAUAAUCUCACUUCAUCCUCAGAAACGGAACUGGUCAUUAAUCACACCUCAUGUGAUAGGAGCAGCACAAAUGAUCAGAAUCCGAUGACCCCGGCCUGGAACACACCAGCUGUCCUGCCCCGAACUAACCCUGGGCGAUCCAAGUUGCUUUUCCGAUCGUAAGGAGAUACAUGAAGCCACUCCGAAAGUCACACAGCUGGAAGUGGGGGAUCAGCAGUGUGAUGCAGACGCUCCGCCUCUGGGCCCCGUGCGUCGUGCUCAGAACUCCGGCAUGCCACACCGCCUUCAUCAGAAAGCAACGGUAAUGAAAACAGCCCGGAGGUGAUACAGCGCAGUGCAGUAGGACCGAGAGCCUCGAAUUAGAAGAACCUUCGGCGCUGAGCUCAGCAGAACUGACGUCUGGGAACUGAUUUAUGGGAAGCCACCGGAGACGUUUCUAAGUCUGCGGGAGGGAGGUUAAAUUCAUGUAUCAGAAGGACAAGCCGAAUGCGUUCUCAAUGAAAGACACAGACUCAACAGAUUAAAACUCAUGGCAAGGCAGCUCUGUGCUGAAAGUGGUGAAGUUCUGAAUCGGCCACACUGUUCUUUGGAGACUGUUUCCAUGCCCGGGAAAGGCAAACUCGAGUGACAGGCGGAGUGACAGGCGGAGCCACAGACGAUGGCAGUCAAGGGUAGGUGGGGUAAUUUGGGUUUUAUGGCCGUUCAGUUUUAGAGAUCGGUGAUUUCAGACUUAGAGAGGAAUACUUGAAAAAGAUAAUACUCGAUUGAGGUGGGAAAUGGAACAUGGAAGAGAAAUGACUUGUGCCUGAGUAAGAGGGGUUCGUGGGCUGCCAUUUAGUUUUUAAUUUCCAGCAAGCUUGCUUAGGCUCAGUUCCCGUGCUGUCAACUAAAAUAUUAAGUGUGGCUUCAUCACACUUAUUCCUAGUGAUACUAAGUAAAACCGAAAACUCAACAGCCCAUCGAUAUGCACUCAGUGUGUGGUCUGCAGCUUAGUAAACCUAAUUUAGAAGAACUCAGGCCAUGACAUUUGUCUCGUAAUCAGAGAACUGGCAUGUAUUCUCUUGAGCAAAUGCAUCUCCUUUAAGUAAACCUGCGUGGUUCACUCUAGCUGCAUGCUCUAAAAAUGUGUACCUCCUAAGGCUUAUGCUUUAGUUUGUAAUUCUAUGAUCAAUAAUAUACAAACAGAAGGCUCAGAUUGUCGAGAUGGAAAAUCACGAGAUCCCUAAAUGUCAGGGACUGAGACAUCAUGUCACCCCUCCUUUGUGACACAGACACUCUGUUCACAGCAAAAGCAAUAACAAAAUGGGGGUUCUCAUUCAAACUCUGAAACGGGUCGAAGAUGAUAGAGCAAUUGAAGAGGAAUGUUCCUUUAGAAGUAUGUAGUUUGUUUCAUUCGAGACCAUCAGCCUUCCUUCUUUAAUCCUCUCAAGCGUGAAUUUCAUUUCUAUACGCCAGGAGAAACAGCUCCUGUCACGCUCGAAGGACAAGAAGGAUAUUACAGUCUUCCACAUCCAGUGAGGUCACUCAUUGUUUUGCUGAUCGUUCUCUGAGUUGAUUGAACAAUUAUGGGCUAAACGAUGUAAUCACCCACACGUGCCGUGUGACAAGGACCCACUGCCCAUGUGCUGGGUGUAUCACUGGUCCUCGGACCCCAGUCCACCUGUCUUGUCCUCCUGUCCCCCGCCCCACGUCCACCUGUCCCAUCCACCUGUACGCCUGCCCCGUCCACCUGUCUGCCCGUCCCUGGCUGCCGUCCCUCAGCAUCUGCCCGUGUGGUCUUUCCAGGUGCUCAUCCCUCAGGAUGUGGCCACGUUUCCGGGCUCUGGAUGAAUCUCUGUGGGUCUCCAAUUGGGCUCCUGUCUCUGGGUCUCACACUCAGUUCAGACGGCCUCAGACCAGCCCACCAGCCAGGCCCCAGAAGACUUUCCUGAGAACUCAUUCUGCGACACCCCCAGAGGGAAGUUCUGUCGCUCCACACACCUCCUGGCUCUGUUCCCGAACACCUGUCCUAGGCCUACACGGACUGCCGUGGGCAUCUGCAGGGAGGCCGUCGCGUUUUCCCUCUUACUCCAGUGCAGAUGUCGUCAGCUUCCCCCGAGAUGCCUGAUUGACGUAGAGCAGCCCGCAGGUGGAGCUUAAACACCUAAAACUUAGCAGGAAGGGCCCCUGGCCUCUUGGGCAUUUUUCAGGGAAGAAUAAUGAUGUCUGAGUGAUCACGUGGAUUCUUCCAGGAAGAAUUCAGCUCCAAAGAGACUCUUCUUCAUUCUUUAAAUCGGCAGGCAAAGCCCCUUCCACCGCAGCAGCAGGCCCAGUGCUGGGGACAGGCCAGCGGGCCCUCCUGGUCCUGAGUCUGAAGUGCUGACUAGGAGCAGUCCAGUGGGGACUGCACGGUGCAGACUGGCAGCAUCUGCUUGGGACCGAGCUUAGGGCACAUGCUGACAGAGGCUGAGAACGUUCUGGAACCAGACUGUCCGUUCCGACAGUGCUGGCUCAGGCCAGCCUGGUAGGUCGGAGCAGGUGACAGGUGAGGGAAGAAGGACACAGAAGAUGGGAGACGGAACGAGCAGAGUCCAGGACACGCCUGGGACAGAGCCGCUGCCUGAGCUGCUGCUGAGAGGGAGCGUGCAGCCGAGGAGGGCGCCUGGGGACCGGCGCUGCCGCUGGCGGGCGGCGGGGCCUCGAGGGAACUCCGCGUCACCUGGAAGGUCCUGCUCCAUAGCUGCCUGCCGGGCUGGGGGGCCAAGAGGAGAAACGGAAACAGCAGUGGGACCUUCCCCAGGGCCAGAGACCCCGAGAACGAAGUCUGCUCAGACCUCGGAGCCCGCGAGAGCACCGUUGCCCACUGUCUUCUCCAAGCCAGCCGUCUCGGAAGACGCGGGACAGGGCAGGAAGUGGUUGUCCCCCAGCCCUUCGACGUCUUUCCCAAACCCAAGCAACCUCACUGUCACUGUGUAGCGGAGCUUACCAGCAGCAUCGCAGCUGCAGCGCCCUCUGCUGGCGACGGGAGUCCUGGGGGAAGCGACCGCCACUUGCGGAAGGAAGGGCCCCCGCCGUGGCCUCGAGCUCCAGGUUGGGACAACCAUGGCGAUGCAGCCCUUGCCUUCCAGAAGCUUACCGCCCAGUGAGAGGUGGCACAGACGGCCAAGGAUACGCGGUGCGGGUAAGGCGCUGCGGGAGGCCAGCGGGCGGAGGCGUGACUUUGGGCCAGGGCGGGCGAGAGGAAAUGGAAGUCUGAGCGUUGAAGGCGUGUGUCCAGCAGCGUGCGAGUCAGGAGGAACCCCGAACCCAGAGGGUGGGGGGACGUCUCAGAGGUAAUCAGACGGGAAAGCGAGGAGAGUCUAACGAGAUGGAACGAGGCUCCAGGCAUUGAGUGAUACCCGUGGUCCAUGGCAGAAGCUGCAAGGGAACCCGUCCCGAAGUUUGUCCCCUGCCGUGUGUCCCAGGAAAGCUGCGUCCCUUCCAAAGGGCUGCUGUGCGGAGCCUCUCGGCGUCCCUCCCUCAGCUAGGUCUUCAACCAAUCACGAGCGUUCUAGCCCCGUGCCGGGCACCCCGUCCUCCUUCCUGCUCGUUAACGCCGGCCGAGCGGCUAACCACGUGCCGGGCGCUGUGUCACCUGUACUGUCUCCACUGAUCCCCGUGAUAGUGCAGAAACGAGGACUCUGAGGCCUGGGGAGGUUGAGCGAGAGCCGCACGGGGAGCAAGGGGCAGGUGUGGGGUCGCGUGACGCCGGCGCCUGUGUUCGUCAUCACUCUCGUGUCCCCUGUGUGUUCUGCCUCGUACCCGUCAACUUCUGGGUGGUCACGACCGUAGCAUCUGAUGCGUCACGUUUUCUGCCUCCCGUAAGAGAAGGAGUAACCUGUGACGAUAGAGCACCCAGACCGCUUGGGAAGAUGCUGGUGGCGGUGACGCCACGGAAAUUCCUGGGGAAAGUCUGGUCCAAAGAAAUACAAGACAGACUCAGCCUAGAAAACUCAACAUGGGGUUUCUGUCCACCGUGCGCCUUUUGUCCUGGGCUCUUGAAAUAGGUGUGGCCACUGAUUUUCAUUUGCAGAAUUUCUCAGAGCAGCACUCGAAGGCCGCUGAGAGCAAAGAAGCAGCUGCGUGCAGCUCAGAAGGUCACCAAAAAGCCUCUAAAUUGGCGAAUACGUGUGCGUACACUUUCGACUCAUUUGAACAUGCAGAUAAAUUUAAGCGCUCUUUGGCAUCAGUGAUUCUCAUAAAUUAGAAACAAUUGUAGUAAAUGCAUGGCAGCAUCUAGGCAAAUAAUAAUGUUAUUAUUAUUAUCUGUCUAAUUACAAAGCGUGGGGCUGAAACCAUUUCCGUUAAUUCACCCAAUUUCCUAUUGUCAAAUGCUACUGUCUGUGCUCGAUGUGAUUAUGUGACGGGCUGAUUACGUUUGAUAUCCUUUAUCGUACAUUCUGCUUCCGGCAAAAUAAGAAGGUAGCACUAGAAGUAAGUUCGGGGACAAGGAGGGAGGAUGCCCUCCAAGGGCAGGAAAUGCUGUCCUUUGCGUAGAAGUGGCUUCGACGCGAUUUUAUUGGAAUAACUGAAUAUAUUUACGAGCGGCAAGAAGCAAAUAAAAAAGGGUAUUUGA
This is an RNA transcript of Pteropus alecto (black flying fox), 6051 nucleotides long. It is a transcript of the gene named fumarylacetoacetate hydrolase, with no coding region annotated. The record is from RefSeq and is a predicted model, not a curated record. The transcript is spliced from 19 exons. NCBI's taxonomy places the organism in Eukaryota, Metazoa, Chordata, Mammalia, Chiroptera, Pteropodidae.